RNAcentral lists this ribosomal RNA (492 nucleotides) under uncultured bacterium. Its description in RNAcentral is "bacterial SSU rRNA". It matches the Rfam family "Bacterial small subunit ribosomal RNA", at positions 30 to 509 of the family's 1533-position model. The record is from RNAcentral.
AUUGAACGCUGGCGGCAGGCUUAACACAUGCAAGUCGAGCGGUAACAGAGAGUAGCUUGCUACUCUGCUGACGAGCGGCGGACGGGUGAGUAAUGCCUAGGAAUCUGCCUAGUAGUGGGGGAUAACUUGCCGAAAGGUAAGCUAAUACCGCAUACGUCCUACGGGAGAAAGCAGGGGACCUUCGGGCCUUGCGCUAUUAGAUGAGCCUAGGUCGGAUUAGUUAGUUGGUGAGGUAAUGGCUCACCAAGACCGCGAUCCGUAACUGGUCUGAGAGGAUGAUCAGUCACACUGGAACUGAGACACGGUCCAGACUCCUACGGGAGGCAGCAGUGGGGAAUAUUGGACAAUGGGGGCAACCCUGAUCCAGCCAUGCCGCGUGUGUGAAGAAGGUCUUAGGAUUGUAAAGCACUUUAAGUUGGGAGGAAGAGCAGUUAACUAAUACUUGACUGUUUUGACGUUACCGACAGAAUAAGCACCGGCUAACUUCGUGCC